AUACGGAGGGUGCGAGCGUUAAUCGGAAUUACUGGGCGUAAAGCGUGCGUAGGCGGUUUGCUAAGUCAGAUGUGAAAGCCCCGGGCUUAACCUGGGAACUGCAUUUGAUACUGGCAGACUAGAGUAUGAUAGAGGGGGGUAGAAUUCCUGGUGUAGCGGUGCAAUGCGUAGAUAUCAGGAGGAAUACCAGUGGCGAAGGCGGCCCCCUGGAUCAAUACUGACGCUGAGGUACGAAAGCGUGGGGAGCGAACAGGAUUAGAUACCCUAGUAGUCC
Molecule: ribosomal RNA, 274 nt
Filed under: uncultured bacterium
Lineage: Bacteria
Description: partial 16S ribosomal RNA
Rfam family: Bacterial small subunit ribosomal RNA
Source: RNAcentral